ACUACUACAACAACACCACCCACGACUACUACAACCGCAAAACCCACAACUACUAUAACACCUACACCUACCACCACUCCUACAACUCCACCACUCACAUCUACCUCUACUACAAACCGAGAUCCCACAACAACAAGCAAAACAAACAUAGUUGUUUCAACCUCCAAGACAAAUUCUGGAAACCAUAAUGACAGUCACACAACAGAUGGAAGAGAAAAUCCUACACACAAUCCAGCAGUGAAAAACACUACAACUGUAAAUCCACAUGACAAACACACAGAUUCUCACAGUGUUUCAACUGGAAAGCCAAGUGAACCCCAGACAUCAGGUGGCAGCAGCAAUGGGAGCAGUGACUUGGUACCUGGAUGGGGUAUUGCCCUCUUAGUAUUAGCCGCCGCCAUCUUGUUGCUACUCAUAGUCAUCUUCAUCAUGAUGUUGGUCCGGUGGUGUUGUAGCAAACCAGAAAGCCGCAUGGAUACUGCUGAGGAUCCAUAUUACACUGAAAAGCAACAGCCGGCCCACGCGCCUCUGCCAGCGUACACACCUCAGGCCCCAGUGACACCAAAUCCAGCGGCAACCCCUUCCAUUAUUGAGGACGUGCCCAAGAAGAACAGGACAGGGUUCUAUACAGUGAAUCCUUGAGAGUCUCUGGAUGAAUGGGAGCCAUCAAAUAACAGGCAGACUGCAGUAAGCAGAGGCGGAGUGAAGCAACGUGAACUCCUACCGCAUGAAUAGUGUACAGCAUGGAUGAACAAAUAUCAAGAGAUGUUAUUAUACUAUUAUUUAUUAUUACACAGUAGUUUAACUUUUUGUCAUAUUUCAUUUUAUUUAACGGUUAAGAUUAAUAUGAGUAAAUAUUGUAAAUGCCAACACAGAUAAUGGUAAAAACUUUUA
This is a long non-coding RNA of Micropterus dolomieu (smallmouth bass), 894 nucleotides long. RefSeq lists it as uncharacterized. Lineage: Eukaryota; Metazoa; Chordata; Actinopteri; Centrarchiformes; Centrarchidae. The transcript has 4 exons. The record is from RefSeq and is a predicted model, not a curated record.